This is a long non-coding RNA of Astatotilapia calliptera (eastern happy), 816 nucleotides long. The record is from Ensembl. NCBI's taxonomy places the organism in Eukaryota, Metazoa, Chordata, Actinopteri, Cichliformes, Cichlidae.
CUCGAAACCAUUGAGAUGAUCUGUUUUAAACAGGCGAGCAGAUCCAGUGUCAUCAGUGAGCUGGUGAAAAGAUACCAGGACAAGAACAUCAAGCUGAAUUUCAUAUACGACACUGUGUGCUGUCCUCACAUAUACAUAAAUCAUGUAGAGCACACGAAGGCUUCCUGGGUUUGGGCUGAACGAUGGAGAAGGCAUGGAGAGGUUCUGCUCCUUCCUCAGAAGAUCUGCACGAGUCACAAACAGAUGACUCCAUCACAUCGACUGGACCUUCUGACUGAUGCACUAUUGCAUUAUGGGAGGAGGAAGUCAUUGGAUCUAGGUCUACAUAUUUCUGUAUUAGUAGUUAAAAUGACUCAUUUCGAUUCAAACUGAGAGAGCUGACAGUUCCUACUGAUAGAAGUGCAGCUCCUUCAGAGAUGGGACAAAGAGGAGAAGGUCACCAGUCUGCUGAGGAGGAGAUUUCUGCCGUCCUGAAAGAGUCCCCGAGUAACCCGACUUUAAUGGACCGUAUGCUUGUAGUCGCAAGUGAAUCUUUUCUCCCCAUGUUUGUCCAAGUGACUAUUUCAGAACAAGACAUCCAACAGUGGAUGGAAAGAGAGACAGAAGCUGCCAAACAUGCACUUUUGAAAACAAGACCCAAAGGCCAGAGAUGCUCUUCAAACAACUGACAGACAUGCCCACAUUACAAGAAGAUGGUGUGAGUCUGAUUUGAUGUUCCAGUCAAUGCUGAGAGACCUUGACAAGGAAGUCAGAGGUCAGCUGAUGAUGCGAGCAGGAAAUGAAGAAGGAAGAAGGAUCGCUCUACUUAAUCUCAAG